AUGCUCGCUUUGGCAGCACAUACACAAAAAUUGGAAAGAGAAGAUUAGCAAGGCCUCUGCCCAAGGAUGAUAGGCAAUCUGUGAAGUGUUUCAUAUUUUU
This is a small nuclear RNA of Aotus nancymaae (Ma's night monkey), 100 nucleotides long. The record is from Ensembl. NCBI's taxonomy places the organism in Eukaryota, Metazoa, Chordata, Mammalia, Primates, Aotidae.